CGGGAAUUUUGGGCAAUGGGCGAAAGCCUGACCCAGCAACGCCGCGUGAGGGAUGAAGUAUUUCGGUAUGUAAACCCCGAAAGAAUGGGAAGAAUAAAUGACGGUACCAUUUAUAAGCUCCGGCUAACUACGUGCCAGCAGCCGCGGUAAUACGUAGGGAGCAAGCGUUGUUCGGAUUUACUGGGCGUAAAGGGCGCGUAGGCGGCGCGGUAAGUCACUUGUGAAAUCUCUGAGCUUAACUCAGAACGGCCAAGUGAUACUGCUGUGCUAGAGUGCGGAAGAGGCAACCGGAAUUCUUGGUGUAGCGGUGAAAUGCGUAGAUAUCAAGAGGAACACCUGAGGCGAAGGCGGGUUGCUGGGCCGACACUGACGCUGAUGCGCGAAAGCCAGGGGAGCAAACG
RNAcentral lists this ribosomal RNA (401 nucleotides) under uncultured bacterium. RNAcentral describes it as "bacterial SSU rRNA". It matches the Rfam family "Bacterial small subunit ribosomal RNA", at positions 356 to 774 of the family's 1533-position model. The record is from RNAcentral.